Molecule: non-coding RNA, 605 nt
Organism: Phascolarctos cinereus (koala)
Lineage: Eukaryota; Metazoa; Chordata; Mammalia; Diprotodontia; Phascolarctidae
Source: RefSeq, a predicted model, not a curated record
GUGGGUGGAGGAAGAGAGGAAGACUCCUUGUUAAAAAUAUAGAAGACCUAGACCUCUGCCCUCUGUGCCCAGCCCCCUGGGUCUCCUCCUACUGUUGGCCUCCAAAGCAAACAAGAAGACCCCAGGGUCCCAACUAUCAGCCUGUGAAAGUGAUGUGGUCUGGGUAGGGGUGAGCCCAGCCAAGCGAGGGGAGGCAAGCAGGAGACAGAAGAAGAAGGGGACAGUGGAGAGGCAGAGGACAAGGAAGCCAAGACGGUCACUUCAUUCUCCCGAUUCCAGCUCCCAGAAGGGGAGAUUGCUGCCAUUCUCUACGUCCCCACCCCAGCACCCAUAAGGAAACGAACCUUUGCCAUAGCAGGAGGAAUUUGGGCUACACACCAGGAGGGACUUCCACCUGGGCUUUCCCAAUUCCGGGUCACGAGCCAGAGAAUGGAGCGGGGGUUCAGGGUCCAGGGGUGAGGGACUGCGUCUAGGCAUCAUUCUGGGACAACAGAAGCAUGUUGGAUUGGGGUCGGGGGUGGAGGAGGGACCCAAGGACACCUACCUGUCAACCAGGAAUCCCAGACUUUCCUAAUUUUCCAGCUGAAAGUGUUCUUUAACGUUCA